GUGCACCAGUCGCGAAUCCUCCUCAAUGCACUCACGUGCGAAGGGGUUACCUCGAGUGCCGCCUGAAGAAGGCGGCUUUUCCAUGGUCUAAAAGCCUAGGGAAUAAGAGGGGGCAAGACUGGUGUCAGCCGCCGCGGUAACACCAGCCCCUCGAGUGGUGGGGAUGAUUAUUUGGCCUAAAGCGUCCGUAGCCGGCCGGGUAAGUCUCCCGUUAAAUCCAGCGUCUCAAGCGUUGGACUGCGGGAGAUACUGUCUGGCUAGAGAGGUGGGAGAGGUGUACGGUAUUCGU
RNAcentral lists this ribosomal RNA (289 nucleotides) under uncultured microorganism. Its description in RNAcentral is "partial 16S ribosomal RNA". It matches the Rfam family "Archaeal small subunit ribosomal RNA", at positions 330 to 622 of the family's 1478-position model. The record is from RNAcentral.